GUACUCGCUUCGGCAGCACAUAUACUAAAAUUGGAAAGAUACAGAGAAGAUCAGCAGGGCCCCAAUGCAAGGAUGACACGCAAAUUCGUGAGGCGUUUAAUAUUUUU
Spermophilus dauricus (Daurian ground squirrel) is the source of this 107-nucleotide small nuclear RNA. Lineage: Eukaryota; Metazoa; Chordata; Mammalia; Rodentia; Sciuridae. The record is from Ensembl.